AAUGGAAAAAGGAGAAAAUAAUAAAAC
Molecule: small RNA, 27 nt
Filed under: Arabidopsis thaliana (thale cress)
Lineage: Eukaryota; Viridiplantae; Streptophyta; Magnoliopsida; Brassicales; Brassicaceae
Description: ATSL291530
Source: RNAcentral